CCUACGGGAGGCAGCAGUGGGGGAUAUUGCACAAUGGGGGAAACCCUGAUGCAGCGACGCCGCGUGGGUGAAGAAGCGCCUCGGCGCGUAAAGCCCUGUCAGCAGGGAAGAAAAUGACGGUACCUGAAGAAGAAGCCCCGGCUAACUACGUGCCAGCAGCCGCGGUAAUACGUAGGGGGCAAGCGUUAUCCGGAUUUACUGGGUGUAAAGGGGGCGCAGACGGCGCUGCAAGCCAGGAGUGAAAGCCCGGGGCCUAACCCAGGUACUGCUCUUGGAACUGCGGGGCUUGAGUGCAGGAGGGGCAGGCGGAAUUCCUGGUGUAGCGGUGAAAUGCGUAGAUAUUAGGAGGAACACCGGCGGCGAAGGCGGCCUGCUGGACUGUAACUGACGUUGAGGCCCGAAAGCGUGGGGAGCAAACAGGAUUAGAUACCCGAGUAGUC
This 440-nucleotide ribosomal RNA is filed under the name uncultured bacterium. RNAcentral describes it as "partial 16S ribosomal RNA". It matches the Rfam family "Bacterial small subunit ribosomal RNA", at positions 338 to 795 of the family's 1533-position model. The record is from RNAcentral.